RNAcentral lists this ribosomal RNA (301 nucleotides) under uncultured bacterium. RNAcentral describes it as "partial 16S ribosomal RNA". It matches the Rfam family "Bacterial small subunit ribosomal RNA", at positions 509 to 807 of the family's 1533-position model. The record is from RNAcentral.
CAGCAGCCGCGGUAACACGGAGGGUGCAAGCGUUAAUCGGAAUUACUGGGCGUAAAGCGCACGCAGGCGGUCUGACAAGUCAGAUGUGAAAUCCCCGGGCUUAACCUGGGAACUGCAUUUGAAACUGUCAGGCUGGAGUCUUGUAGAGGGGGGUGGAAUUCCAGGUGUAGCGGUGAAAUGCGUAGAGAUCUGGAGGAAUACCGGUGGCGAAGGCGACUAUCUGGGCCAACACUGACACUGAGGCACGAAAGCGUGGGGAGCAAACAGGAUUAGAUACCCCGGUAGUCCCUGUCUCUUAUAC